CUCGAGGUGGCUGCUUGGGACUUCCUCCUCCAAGUCGUGGCUCUGAUGCCGAUGAACAUUCAGGAGGACUAGGAUGCCAUUUCCUGGCACCUUGAGCCUUCCAGCCGCUUCUCCACGAAGUCCCUGUAUGCGGUCAUUGAUCCAUCGACGGCCCCGGAACCGUUUAGCCUGAUAUGGGACAUCCGCCUUCCUCUGAAGAUCCGGAUCUUUCUGUGGCAAUGGAUCCGCGGGCGCCUCCCCUCUGGGAUCGAAGUCCUCAAGCGUAACGCCCCGGGCGAUGGGCUCUGUCCC
This 291-nucleotide ribosomal RNA is filed under the name Triticum aestivum (bread wheat). Its description in RNAcentral is "partial small subunit ribosomal RNA". The record is from RNAcentral. Lineage: Eukaryota; Viridiplantae; Streptophyta; Magnoliopsida; Poales; Poaceae.